Cryptococcus depauperatus CBS 7841 is the source of this 119-nucleotide non-coding RNA. The record is from Rfam. Lineage: Eukaryota; Fungi; Basidiomycota; Tremellomycetes; Tremellales; Cryptococcaceae.
AUCUUCGGCCACAGCUCCGGUAACGCACCAACACUCGUUCGAUCGUUGAAGUUAAGCCCGGAAGCGCCCAAUUAGUACCGGGGUGGGGGACCACCCGGGAAUCCUGGGUGCUGAAGUUU